RNAcentral lists this ribosomal RNA (495 nucleotides) under uncultured bacterium. RNAcentral's name for it is "partial 16S ribosomal RNA". It matches the Rfam family "Bacterial small subunit ribosomal RNA", at positions 30 to 507 of the family's 1533-position model. The record is from RNAcentral.
UGAACGCUGGCGGCGUGCCUAAUACAUGCAAGUCGAGCGAACAGACGAGGAGCUUGCUCCUCUGACGUUAGCGGCGGACGGGUGAGUAACACGUGGAUAACCUACCUAUAAGACUGGGAUAACUUCGGGAAACCGGAGCUAAUACCGGAUAAUAUAUUGAACCGCAUGGUUCAAUAGUGAAAGACGGUUUUGCUGUCACUUAUAGAUUGAUCCGCGCCGCAUUAGCUAGUUGGUAAGGUAACGGCUUACCAAGGCAACGAUGCGUAGCCGACCUGAGAGGGUGAUCGGCCACACUGGAACUGAGACACGGUCCAGACUCCUACGGGAGGCAGCAGUAGGGAAUCUUCCGCAAUGGGCGAAAGCUUGACGGAGCAACGCCGCGUGAGUGAUGAAGGUCUUCGGAUCGUAAAACUCUGUUAUUAGGGAAGAACAAAUGUGUAAGUAACUAUGCACGUCUUGACGGUACCUAAUCAGAAAGCCACGGCUAACUACGUG